RNAcentral lists this ribosomal RNA (473 nucleotides) under uncultured bacterium. RNAcentral describes it as "bacterial SSU rRNA". It matches the Rfam family "Bacterial small subunit ribosomal RNA", at positions 501 to 977 of the family's 1533-position model. The record is from RNAcentral.
CUACGUGCCAGCAGCCGCGGUAAUACGUAUGUCACAAGCGUUAUCCGGAUUUAUUGGGCGUAAAGCGCGUCUAGGUGGUUAUGUAAGUCUGAUGUGAAAAUGCAGGGCUCAACUCUGUAUUGCGUUGGAAACUGCAUGACUAGAGUACUGGAGAGGUAAGCGGAACUACAAGUGUAGAGGUGAAAUUCGUAGAUAUUUGUAGGAAUGCCGAUGGGGAAGCCAGCUUACUGGACAGAUACUGACGCUAAAGCGCGAAAGCGUGGGUAGCAAACAGGAUUAGAUACCCUGGUAGUCCACGCCGUAAACGAUGAUUACUAGGUGUUGGGGGUCGAACCUCAGCGCCCAAGCUAACGCGAUAAGUAAUCCGCCUGGGGAGUACGUACGCAAGUAUGAAACUCAAAGGAAUUGACGGGGACCCGCACAAGCGGUGGAGCAUGUGGUUUAAUUCGACGCAACGCGAGGAACCUUACCAG